GAUGAAGAACGCAGCGAAAUGCGAUAAGUAGUGUGAAUUGCAGAAUUCAGUGAAUCAUCGAAUCUUUGAACGCACAUUGCGCCCCUUGGUAUCCCGAGGGGCAUGCCUGUUCGAGCGUCAUUUCACCACUCAAGCCUGGCUUGGUGUUGGGCGACGUCCCCUUUGGGGACGCGCCUCGAAACGCUCGGCGGCGUGGCACCGGCUUUAAGCGUAGCAGAAUCUUUCGCUUUGGAAGUCGGGGCCCCGUCUGCCGGAAGACCUACUCGCAAGGUUGACCUCGGAUCAGGCAGGGAUACCCGCUGAACUUAAGCAUAUUAAUAAGCGGAGGA
This 329-nucleotide unclassified non-coding RNA is filed under the name soil metagenome. RNAcentral's name for it is "partial contains 5.8S ribosomal RNA, internal transcribed spacer 2, and large subunit ribosomal RNA". The stretch from base 1 to 120 matches the Rfam family "5.8S ribosomal RNA", at positions 35 to 154 of the family's 154-position model. The record is from RNAcentral.